GCCUGGCUGGCUCAGUCAGUAGAACAUGUGACUCUUGAUCUCUGGGUCAUGAGUUUUAGCCUCAUGUUGGGCA
RNAcentral lists this transfer RNA (73 nucleotides) under Felis catus (domestic cat). It matches the Rfam family "tRNA". Rfam says of the family: Transfer RNA (tRNA) molecules are approximately 80 nucleotides in length. Their secondary structure includes four short double-helical elements and three loops (D, anti-codon, and T loops). RNAcentral also lists the same sequence under 3 other names. Lineage: Eukaryota; Metazoa; Chordata; Mammalia; Carnivora; Felidae. The record is from Rfam by way of RNAcentral.